GACGAACGCUGGCGGCGUGCUUAACACAUGCAAGUCGUACGGUAAGGCCCUUUCUGGGGUACACGAGUGGCGAACGGGUGAGUAACACGUGAGUAACCUUCCCACAACUUUGGGAUAACGCUAGGAAACUGGUGCUAAUACUGGCUAUGUGCUCCUGCUGCAUGGUGGGGGUUGGAAAGCUCCGGCGGUUGUGGAUGGACUCGCGGCCUAUCAGCUUGUUGGUGGGGUAGUGGCCUACCAAGGCGGCGACGGGUAGCCGGCCUGAGAGGGUGACCGGCCACAUUGGGACUGAGGUACGGCACAGACUCCUAAGGGAGGAAGCAGUGGGGAAUAUUGAACAAGAGGCGCAAGCCGGAUGCAGCAACGCCGCGGGCGGGAUGACGGCCUUCGGGUUGUAAACCGCUUUCAGCAGGGACGAAGCUUUUUGUGACGGUACCUGCAGAAGAAGCACCGGCUAACUACGUG
RNAcentral lists this ribosomal RNA (465 nucleotides) under uncultured bacterium. Its description in RNAcentral is "partial 16S ribosomal RNA". It matches the Rfam family "Bacterial small subunit ribosomal RNA", at positions 28 to 507 of the family's 1533-position model. The record is from RNAcentral.